Molecule: non-coding RNA, 4048 nt
Organism: Zootermopsis nevadensis
Lineage: Eukaryota; Metazoa; Arthropoda; Insecta; Blattodea; Termopsidae
Source: RefSeq, a predicted model, not a curated record
GUGAAAGGGUUCCAUGUUAAAGCGGGCAAAAUUCUCCCCGCCAGUAGCCGCUACUAACGGGGAGAGCUGCAUAGUGGCUCACGAGCCGAGCUCACAGAUGCACCGGCUCUCGUCUGAAACGGUCCAAUGCAUUUUGCGGGGAUUUCUAUCCCCAGCAGUCGCUUCAGCUCACGUGAGCCUAUCGGGCGCUUACUGCAGUGACUCAUACUCCUGUAUAUCCCGUUCCGGACAUUAAGAACAACUUGUCACUCAUUGCAGGAAGAAGGUAUUUCACACUCAUAGACAGAAAAUGCAUUUUGGAAUAUUCCGAUCAAAAUAGAGGGUCAAGACAAGACAGGAUUUAAUAAAGUCUUCUCGGGCUAUCAGCCGUGUUAGAUGUUGAUCAAUCGCCGACGUUUCGAGGACCAUCUCAUUUUCAAGGCUGUUGACUGUGUGGCUCGUAGCGCGAACUAGUUUAAAUGUCCAAGACUAGUGCGAGUAUCCGAGCGGCGUUUGGUGGGGGAGUGUUGUCUUUGUACUGCUGGAACCCUAUGUUGCCCGAGAAGACUUUAUUAAUAAAAGCCGCCGUGAAAGCUUCACAUCAUAUGCAAGACAGGAUUUGUGAAACCAUUUGGCAGUUUUCCGAUACGAGAAAAUAGUUGUUGGACUUACAGGAGCACUGAGCACAUUUCCGAAAGCAAUGGGUAAUGUUCUAUUAGGACUUAGACAUUGAAUGCCCAGUUUAUCUGUAUGAUGUUCUAACAUACAGUCCGACCAUACAAGACUUCGAUUACUGUUUGAACGCAUUAGGGAUGCCAAUUUUAAAUUAAAUUUGAAUAAAUGCACGUUUCCGACUCCACCAGUUGCUUACCUAGGACGUCGGGUUAGCCGGAAUGGAGUUGCGCCGGAUGAGAGUAAGGUUGCAACGACGCCACAAACUCAAGGAUGUUCGGGGCUUCCUUGGUCUCCCAGGAUAUCAUCGUUCAUUCAUUCAUAAUUUUGGGACAAUUAUCAGGCAUUUGACCUUACUUAUUGGUAAGGAAAUCCAGUUUGAUUGGACGGCAAAACAACAGGAAACUUCCGAUAAAUUAAGAAGAGUACUAUCAUCAGAAUCAGUGCUGGCCCAUCCAAAUUUUGAACUUCCAUUUAUAUUAAGCUGUGGUGCAUCUAAUUAUGCAAUUUCGGCUAUUCUCAGUCAAAACCAAAAUGAUCAGGAACGCCCGUUGAGCUUCGCUAGCAGAAGUCUGAACGAACAUGAAAUAAAUUACAGUUUUACGCAUAAAAAAUUACUUUCAGUUAUAUUCGAAAUUAAAGUCUACAGAUGUUUUCUGUACGGUACUAACUGGUCAUGCCGCCUUGAAAUGGCUGAUAACGGUAAAAAACCAUCAGUGCGCUCGAUUUAUGCAAUGGGUGCUCAAAUUUUCAGAAUAUGAAUUCGAAAUCAUUCAUAAACCGGGUAAGAAACAUAUCAAUGCGGAUGUGCUGAGUCGACACAUCGCCUCAGUACAACCAACUCCGGAAGUUACUGUAGAUCUUAUGCGUGAAACGAUAUUUAGUGAACAACAAACGGGAGUCUGUUGUCAAGAACAGAGAAAUAAGCUGACUACUGACUCCGAAUCGAAAUUAUUCCUAAAUAGCAAUGGAAAUCUUUGUUAUAAGGAAACCGGACAUAGCACGAAUUGUGCCACAAAAUUUAAUUUCAACAGUCAUUGGGCAACAUUACGAUAAGGUGUACAUGGGACACCAAGGCAUUAAAAUAAUUCAAGAUACAAUAAAAUUGAAUUACUUUUGGCCCACGUUGAACAAACACGUGGAGGAAUAUGUAAAUAAAUAUCAUUCCUAUACUCAGCAUAAAGGCUGACGAGUAAUACCCGCUCCUUGAGAUGAACUUCCAGAAACCUCUCCAUUUGAAAUUACUUCGAUAGAUAUUUGUGGUGCCUAUCCUGUGAAUGAGAAAGGAAAGAAAUAUCUACUUACCUUAAUUGACCAUUUUACGCGGUUUCCCGAAACCGUACUUACACCCAAUCAGGUCGCGGAGACGGUAGCUCACGCAUUGCUUGUGAACGUAUUCAUUCGUCAUGGUUGUCCAAGGGUCCCAAGUUCAGAUCGACGAACAAAUGCUGUCAGAAUUAUUUCAAGAAAUGUUUAAAUUAUUACAGAUUAAGAGGUGUUGUAUUUGGAAACCUUCGUGGUCGCUUUCCCCAAAUUAGGUAGGUCUUGCAUCACGAAUAGACUUACAUAAUGAUUAAGCAUUACCGUCAUGACAAACAGGAAGGAAAUUAUGAUUCCUCGCCGCAUCAUACGUAAUCGAGGCACGAGGAUUACUGAUGUAACCUUCGAUGAAAUGAUAAAUCAUUCAACACUUUCACCAGUCAGGGGCCAAGGUUCUAAGUUUCACAUUUAAUUUACUUUAAAUUGGUAUAAAAAGAAUCGGAAAUUAGGCAGUAACCGUCGAUACGAGCAGCUGGGAAGCCUCUGCUAACCAAGCAUGCCGUGCAUCAUAGUCGACGUCUUUACAGAUAGCUACUAGAAUUUUACCUUAACUACUGGACAUGUUAUCGCACCAGACUUACCACAGCUGAUCACUGGCAAGGAAAGUCAAUAGUUGGAAGAAUACAGCAAGAAAGCAAACUCCACACUUGCUGCCCUCGAGACUGUGAUGCGACGGGACACGUCUACGCAUCAACAAAGUUACAUCGAAUUAAGCCAACUACUGCAAACAUUAGAGCAGAAGAUAACCACUCAACACACCACACAUUGGCUCACAUUUGGCAUCUGUUUUACAUUUACACUAAACAUUUUAUUCCUUACCUUAAAGUAUUGCAGACGACAUCGUAAAACGACUUGCUCCAGGAUGUUCGCAUGGCGAAAUGGUAACCUCUUCGACGGAAGCAGGCCGCCCUCCCAACAAUCUUGGAGGAAGCCGGCCCGAUAGCCGAAGAUCUACUUCCGCUUCAAGUCGAAACAUGUUCCAACCUAACAUCACGUCAAGUAAGCCCAGCACGUGUAACAACGGCUUAAAUCACCGAACUAAGAAGUAAGCAGACGAAUUUACAGUCUGGUACCAAAAGCAACGAACCAAGGAUCUCACGACCAGGACUGGUCCAACUUCCUUCGUCCAGAUAACGACAAGACAUUAUACGUACUGUUAUAAGAAAUGUUAUUCCAAAAGAUUAACCACCCGGAUAUCUAAUGUAUACACUAAAAAUGUUCCAAUAAUUAUUCACAGCGUGAAUUUACUAACACUUAGAAUAACGUAUUAUAACAUUAAUUAUAUGUAACAUAGAACCAGAAUAAGCGUGACAGAAAACAAUCUCACAACUCAGCUAAAAACCGUCUCAAAAAGAUAACUGACCAAGACGACCUCAUUAAACUCCAGCUCAAUCGAGCUGUGACUUUCAAUUUAGGUUGGGGUAGUUGUUGUAUUUGGACACUUUCGUGGUCUCAUUCCCUAAAUUACGAGAGCAUGGUAACUUUCGCAAUAUGAGCAUACUUACGUAAUAAGUGACACUGCUAUGACACGCGGGAAGGAAGCUGUGGUCUUGAUACCUCGCCGCUAGCGAUGAUUCAAGGUUUGCAAGCGUAACCUAAGCAUUGUCACACUUUAUGCUAAAUCGAAGAUUAUUGGAGGAUUAUUGAUGUAACCUCCGGUGAAGGGAUAAGUCACCCAAUUGUUUCGCCAAUCGGAGACCAAGGUUCUAGAUAUCACUCUUCCGCCCCCAGACAUUUUAACUGCUUUGAAUUAGUAUCAAAAGAGGCAGAAAUUAAGAAGUAGUCGUCGAGACGAGCAGCUGGGAAGCCUUCACUAACCAAGCAUGCUGUGCAUUAUAGUCGGCGUUUGUGAAUAUUGUCUGUUUUACUGUCACUGAUUCACUAAGUAACGAAGUCAUUGAGUAACUUCAGAAUAAUUGUAACAAAUUUGAACUAGGUAGUGGUUCUGUUUAGAAGUAGGUUGUGAGGUUUAUAUUUGUAUUCAUUGAUUGUAGAGGCAUUAUAAUAUUGUGCAUAACUAUUUCUGUAUAGAUUUACUUACAUAAUUCUUGUUAUAAUAUAUCCAUAUAUUACUGAG